This 6479-nucleotide long non-coding RNA is filed under the name Homo sapiens (human). RNAcentral's name for it is "HSALNT0329515". The record is from RNAcentral. Lineage: Eukaryota; Metazoa; Chordata; Mammalia; Primates; Hominidae.
CUUCAGAUGAAUGGAUCUUAAAGAGUGACAACUGACGGCCUGGCGUGGUGGCUCACGGUUGUAAUCCCAGCUUUGGAGGCAGAAGCAGGCAGAUCACGAGGUCAGGAGAUCGAGACCAUCCUGGCUAACAUGGUGAAACCCCGUCUCUACCAAAAAUACAAAAAAUUAGCCGGGCGUUGUGGUGGGCACCUGUAGUACCCGCUACUCAGGAGGCUGAGGCAGGAGAAUGGAGUGAACCCCGGAGGCGGAGGUUGCAAUGAGUGGAGAUUGCACCACUGCACUCCAGCCUGGGCGACAGAUCAAGACUCCGUCUCAAAAAAAAAAAAAUUUUUUUUUAAGGCAUAGGAAGGGCAAAUUCUCUCAUUCUCUCUCUUCUUGAGCUGGGACAUCCAUUUUCUCCUGCCUUCAGGAAAUCAGAGCUCCAUGUUCUUGGAUCUCCCGACUCUGGGACUUACACCUUACCCUUUUCCCCUCAGUCUUUCAGACUUGGACUGAAUUACACCAUCACCUUUCCUGGUUCUCCAGCUUGCAGAUAGCAUGUCAUGGGACUUCUUAGCCUCUGUAAUCAUAUGAGCCAGUUCAUAUAGUAAAUCUCCUCCUAUUGAUCUAUACCUAUAUCUGUAAUCCUAUUAGUUGGGUUUCUUUGGAAAACUCUAAUACCCCCUUAUCCACAGUUUUUUUUUUUUUCUGCAGUUUCAGUUAUCUACGGCCAACUGGGUAAACCAAAUAGAUGCUCUUUACAAAUAUUUUUUAACUUCUUAAAAUAUCUCAUUGAGGAUUCCGUUCCAAGAUGGCCAAAUAGGAACAGCUCUGGUCUGCAGCUCCCAGUGUGAUCGACGCAGAAGACGGAUGAUUUCUGCAUUUCCAACUGAGGUACCUGGUUCAUCUUACUAGGACUGGUUGGACAGUGGGUGCAGCCCACGGAGGGUGAGCCGAAGCAGGGCAGGGCAUCGCCUCACCUGGGAAGCGCAAGGAGUCAGGGGAUUUCCUUUUCCUAGCCAAGGGAAGCCGUGACAGAUGGUACCUGGAAAAACGGGACACUCCUGCCCAAAUACUGCGCUUUUCCAAAGUCUUAGCAAAUGGCACACCAGGAGAUUAUAUCCUGUGCCUGGCUCGACAGAUCCUAUGUCCAUGGAGCCUUGCUCACUGCUAGUGCAACAGUCUGAGAUUGACCUGCAAGGCAGCAACCUGGCAUGGGGAGGGGCAUCCGCCAUUGCUGAGGCUUGAGUAGGUAAAUAAAGUGGCUGUGGAAGCUCGAACUGGGUGGAGCCCACCACAGCUCAGCAAGGCUGACUGCCUCUGUAGUCUCCACCUCUGGGGCAGGGCAUAGCUGAACAAAAAGCAGCAGAAACUUCUGCAGACUUAAACAUCCCUGUCUGACAGCUCUGAAGAGAGCAGUGGUUCUCCCAGGAUGGUGUUUUAGCUUGGAGAACAGACAGACUGCCUCCUCAAGUGGGUCCCUGACCCCCAUGUAGCCUAACUGGGAGACACCUCCCAGUAGCCGACUGACACCUCAUACAGGCAGGUGCCCCUCUGGGAUGAAGCUUCCAGAGGAAGGAUCACUCAGCAAUAUUUGCUGUUCUGCAAUAUUUGCUGUUCUGCAGCCUCUGAUGGUGAUACCCAGGCAAACAGGUCUGGAGUAGACCUCCAGCAAACUCCAACAGACCUGCAGCUGAGGGACCUCACUGGUAGAAGGAAAACUAACAAACAGAAAGAAAUAGCAUCAACAUCAACAAAAAGGACAUCCACACCAAAACCCCAUCUGUAAGUUACCAACAUCAAAGACCAAAGGUAGAUAAAACCACAAAGAUGGGGAGAAACCAGAGCAGAAAAGCUGAAAAUUCUAAAAACCAGAGCACCUCUUCUCCUCCAAAGGAUCACAACUCCUUGCCAGCAAUGGAACAAAGCUGGGUGGAGAAUGACUUUGACGAGCUGACAGAAGUGGACUUCAGAAGGUCAGUAAUAAUAAACUUCUCCCAGCUAAAGGAGGAUGUUCUAACCCAUCGCAAGGAAGCUAAAAACCUUGAAAAUAGAUUAGACGAAUGGCUAACUAGAAUAAACAGUGUAGAGAAGACCUUAAAUGACCUGAUGGAGCUGAAAACCAUGGCACGAGAACUUUGUGACACAUGCACAAGCUUCAAUAGCCGAUUCGAUCAAGAAAGGAUAUCAGUGAUUGAAGAUCAAAUUAAUGAAAUAACUCAAGAAGAUUAGAGAAAAAAGAGUAAAAGGGAACGAACAAAGCCUCCAAGAAAUAUGGGACUAUGUGAAAGACCAAAUCUACGUUUGAUUGGUGUACCUGAAAAUGACAGGGAGAAUGGAACCAAGUUGGAAAACACUCCUCAGGAUAUUAUCAAGGAGAACUUCCCCAACUUAGCAAAGCAGGCCAACAUUCAAAUUCAGGAUAUACAGAGAAUGCCACAAAGAUACUCCUCAAGAAGAGCAAACCCAAGACACAUAAUUGGCAGAUUCACCAAGGUUGAAAUGAAGGAAAAAAUGUUAAGCGCAGCCAGAGAGAAAGGUCGGGUUACGCACAAAGGGAAGCCCAUCAGACUAACAGCGGAUCUCUCGGCAGAAACCCUACAAGCCCGAAGAGAGUGGGGGCCAAUAUUCAACAUUCUUAAAGAAAAGAAUUUUCAACCCAGAAUUUCAUAUCCAGCCAAACUAAGCUUCAUAAGUGAAGAAUAAAAUCCUUUCCAGACAAGCAAAUGCUGAGAGAUUUUGUCACCACCAGGCCUGCCCUAAAAGAGCUCCUGAAGGAAGCACUAAACAUGGAAAGGAAAAACCGGUACCAGCCACUGCAAAAAUAUGCCAAAUUGUAAAGACCAUCGAUGCUAUGAAGAAACUGCAUGAACUAACAAGCAAAAUAACCAGCUAACAUCAUAAUGACAGGAUCAAAUUCACACAUAACAAUAUUAACCUUAAAUGUAAAUGGGCUAAAUGCCCCAAUUAAAAGACACAGACUGGCAAAUUGGAUAAAGAGUCAAGACCCAUCCGUGUCCUGUAUUCAGGAGACCCAUCUCACGUGCAGAGACACACAUAGGCUCAAAAUAAAGGGAUGGAGGAAGAUCUACCAAGCAAAUGGAAAGCAGAAAAAAGCAGGGGUUGCAAUCCUAGUCUCUGAUUAAACAGACUUUAAACCAACAAAGAUCAAACGGGACAAAGAAGGCCAUUACAUAAUGGUAAAGGGAUCAAUUCAACAAGAAGAGCUAACUAUCCUAAAUAUAUAUGCACCCAAUACAGGAACACCCAGAUUCAUAAAACAAGUCCUUAGAGACCUACAAAGAAACUUAGACUCCCACACAAUAAUAAUGGGAGACUUUAACACCCCACUGUCAAUAUUAGACAGAUCAAUGAGACAGAAGGUUAACAAGGAUAUCCAGGACUUGAACUCAGAUCUGCACCAAGCAGACUUAAUAGACAUCUACAGACCUCUCCACCCCAAAUGAAGAGAGUAUACAUUCUUCUCAGCACCACAUCACACUUAUUCCAAAAUUGACCACAUAGUUGGAAGUAAAGCACUCCUUAGCACAUGUAAAGGAACAGAAAUCACAACAAACUGUGUCUCAGACCACAGUGCAAUCAAAUUAGAACUCAGGAUUAAGAAACUCACUCAAAACUGCACAACUGCAUGGAAACUGAACAAUCUGCUCCUGAAUGACUACUGGGUAAAUAACGAAAUGAAGGCAGAAAUAAAGACGUUCUUUGAAAACAAUGAGAGCAAAGACACAACGUGCCAGAAUCUCUGGAACACACUUAAAGCACGGUAUAUAGGGAAAUUUAUAGCACUAAAUACCCACAAGAGAAAGCAGGAAAGAUCAAAAUCAACACCCUAACAUCAUAAUUAAAAGAACUAGAGAAGCAAGAGCAAACAAAUUCAAAAGCUAGCAGAAGGCAAGAAAUAACUAAGAUCAGAGCAGAACUGAAAGAGAUAGAGACACAAAAACUUCAAAAAAAUCAACGAAUCCAGGAGCUCGUUUUUUGAAAAGAUCAACAAAAUUGAUAGACUGUUAGCAAGACUAAUAAAGAAGAAAAGAGAGAAGAAUCAAAUCGAUGGUAUAAAAAGUGAUAAAGGGGAUGUCACCACCAAUCCCACAGAAAUACAAACUACCAUCAGAGAAUACUAUAAACACCUCUACACAAAUAAACUAGAAAAUCUAGAAGAAAUGGAUAAAUUCCUGGACACAUACAGCCUCCCAAGACUAAACCAGGAAGAAGUUGAAUCUCUGAUUAGACCAAUAACAGGCUCUGAAAUUGAGGCAGUAGUUAAUAGCCCACCAACCAAAAACAGUCCAGGACCAGACAGAUUCACAGCCAAAUUCUACCAGAGGUACAGAGGAGCUGGUACCAUUCUUUCUGAAACUAUUCCUAGCAAUAGAAAAGAGGGAAUCCUCCCUAAUUCAUUUUAUGAGGCCAGCAUCAUCCUGAUACCAAAGCCUGGCAGAGACACAACAAAAAAAAGAGAGGCCGGGCGCGGUGGCUCACGCCUGUAAUCCCAGCACUUUGGGAGGCCGAGGCGGGUGGAUCAUGAGGUCAGGAGAUCGAGACCAUCCUGGCUAACAAGGUGAAACCCCGUCUCUACUAAAAAUACAAAAAAAUUAGCCGGGCGCGGUGGCGGGCGCCUGUAGUCCCAGCUACUCGGGAGGCUGAGGCAGGAGAAUGGCGUGAACCCGGGAAGCAGAGCUUGCAGUGAGCCGAGAUUGCGCCACUGCAGUCCGCAGUCCGGCCUGGGCGACAGAGCGAGACUCCGUCUCAAAAAAAAAAAAAAAAAGAGAAUUUUAUACCAAUAUCCCUGAUGAACAUCGAUGCAAAAAUCCUCAAUAAAAUACUGGCAAACCGAAUCCAGUAGCACAUCAAAAAGCUUCUCCACCACGAUCAAGUGGGCUUCAUCCCUGGGAUGCAAGGCUGUUUCAACAUAUGCAAAUCAAUAAACAUAAUCCAUCACAGAAACAGAACCAAUGACAAAAACCGCUUGAUUAUCUCAAUAGAUGCAGAAAAGGCCGUCGACAAAAUUCAAAAGCCCUUCAUGCUAAAAACUCUCAAUAAACUAGGUAUUGAUAGAACGUUUCUCAAAAUAAUAAGAGCUAUAUAUGACAAACCCACAGCCAAUAUCAUGUGGAAUGGGCUAAAGCUGUUGACCUGAUAGAUAUGGGUUCAAGAGGACACAGCUGAAUACUGUGCUUAGGAAAAGAACAGUUUCAAAGGCUUUCCAGAUUGUCAGAUUUGAUGAUAUCCUCCUUGGUGCACACCUCUCUUGGCUAUGGGGCACAUAAACCACCUCUACCAAUCUAACUGGUUUGUGCAGUUUUUCUGAUUUUGUAUCUACCGGCAAAAUAUAUCUUAAGCCAUUUUUAGGAAACAGGAGGUUUAGUCACGUGCUCAACAAAAGCACAACAAAUGGGGAGCAUUUAAUGGUGUAAGGGCUGUGAGGUGUAGCUGCUGAAACUGUAGCUAGGAGCUGCCUUGCUGCCUUCUUGCAGGCAGAUUGGCCAGAUGAGCCAGGCUAAAAUACAAUUAAUAUCUACCAUUGUGGUUUAAUAUGAAAUAUGGAUACCUGGUCUUUGUCUCAGUUCUUGUCAUAGAGUUCCCCAAACCUUUAGAACUUCCUGAGUGGUAGGAAUAUCUCAUUAGUGAUAAUGAGCCCCUUUGAUUCGAUAACUCCUGAGUUUAUGCUAAUGAGGUUACUUAAUGUGGGGCCCUAGAUAUUCUUAGGAUGGGGCUAGUUCCCGGAAAGACCAGGUCAUUUGAGGAUUAGAGGGUUGGAACUUUUAGCUCUACCCACUGAUCUCUGGGUGGGGAAGGUGCUGGAGAUCAAGCUGCCUAAAAACUCUUGAACAACAAGAUUUGAGGAGCUUCCAGUAAAUGCGUCCACAAGCUGGGAGGGCACUGCACCCCAGUUUCACUGGGACAGAAGCUCUUGCACUUGGAAUCUUUCCAGACCUAGCCCUUCAUGCUGCUUCAUCUGGCUGUUCAUCUGUAUCCUUUAUAAUAAAUUGGCAAAUGUAAAGGUUUAGCUGAAUUUGGUGAGCCUUUCUAGAAAAUUAAUUGAACCUAAGAAGGGGUCUGUGGAAACCCUGGUUUGUAGUUGGUAGGUCAGAGGUGCGUGUGGCUUGGAUGUUCGAAUGGCAUCUGAAGAGGGACAGAGCACACAACCUGUGGGAUCUGACACUAUCUCCCCGCAGAUAGGGUCAGAGCUUAAUUCUAUUAGAGAACACCCCAUUGGUAUCUGCUGGAGAAUUACUUGGUGUAUGAGAAGCCCCCCACCACAUCUGGUCACAGAAGUAUUGUGGGUUGAGUGUGACAGUACAGGGUAAAAAGUGGUUUGUUUUUUCCUCUAACAGUGAUCACUCCCUCUCAAAGGAGUGUGGAAGGUUUUCUGGAUAGGAAUACUGCAUAUAAUCAUUUGGUUCACUUCAGAAACUACUAUAAUUUUGACUGUGCUGGUUCACUUCCACAUGUACAAACACACACACAUACACACA